This 253-nucleotide ribosomal RNA is filed under the name uncultured bacterium. Its description in RNAcentral is "partial 16S ribosomal RNA". It matches the Rfam family "Bacterial small subunit ribosomal RNA", at positions 524 to 776 of the family's 1533-position model. The record is from RNAcentral.
UACGUAGGUGGCAAGCGUUGUCCGGAUUUAUUGGGUUUAAAGGGUGCGUAGGCGGCCCUGUAAGUCAGUGCUGAAAUAUCCCAGCUUAACUGGGAGGGUGGCAUUGAUACUGCGGGGCUAGAGUACAGAUGAGGUAGGCGGAAUUGACGGUGUAGCGGUGAAAUGCUUAGAUAUCGUCAAGAACACCUAUAGCGAAGGCAGCUUACUGGGCUGUAACUGACGCUGAGGCACGAAAGUGUGGGGAUCAAACAGG